Molecule: unclassified non-coding RNA, 22 nt
Filed under: Mus musculus (house mouse)
Lineage: Eukaryota; Metazoa; Chordata; Mammalia; Rodentia; Muridae
Description: oocyte_clustered_small_RNA12401
Source: RNAcentral
UCAGCCAUUCCAAACACUCUCC